UUACCGGCUUGACAUCUAUGAAAGGGUGCAAACAACAGGUGCUGCAUGGCUGUCGUCAGCUCGUGUCGUGAGAUGUUGGGUUAAGUCCCGCAACGAGCGCAACCCUGUGCCUGUUGCCUCGGUCUCUGGCAGACUGCCCUGUGAAAGGGGAGGAAGGUGGGGAUGACGUCAAGUCAGUAUGGCCCUUACGCCGGGCUGCACACGUACUACAAUGCAGUACAAAUGCCACCGCGAGGAGAGGAAUCUCAAACUGGCCCAGUUCGGAUUGAAGGCUGCAACUCGCCUUCAUGAAGCCGGAAUCGCUAGUAAUGGCGAUCAGCACGCGCCGUGAAUACGUUCCCGGGCCUUGUACACACCGCCCGUCACAUCAUGGAAGUCGUGAGCGAA
This 387-nucleotide ribosomal RNA is filed under the name uncultured bacterium. Its description in RNAcentral is "bacterial SSU rRNA". It matches the Rfam family "Bacterial small subunit ribosomal RNA", at positions 971 to 1421 of the family's 1533-position model. The record is from RNAcentral.